RNAcentral lists this non-coding RNA (117 nucleotides) under Homo sapiens (human). The record is from Rfam by way of RNAcentral. Lineage: Eukaryota; Metazoa; Chordata; Mammalia; Primates; Hominidae.
GCUGGGUGUGCUGGCUCACACCUGUAAUCCCAGCACUUUGGGAGGCUGAGGUGGGUGGAUCACCUGAGGUCAGGAGUUCAAGACCAGCCUGGCCAACAUGGUGAAACCCCAUCUCUA